AUUUGAUUGCAUAUGCAAUGUAAAAUGAUUAUCAAGAUCAAGUGAGUUAACAUACCCACAUCACUUUCCAUUGUUACAAUUUUUUGGACAUGUGAUGAGAUCUACUCUUAGCAAAUUUCAAGUAUGCAAGAGUAUUACUCACUAUAAUCUGAGAUUUUAUUUAAAUUGAUAAUUAUCUGAAGCAUGAGAAUAAAUUCACAAUUCUAUAUUCAAAACUUGAACAUACGUUAAAUAAAUAUGUAGCUACAAACAAUGUUUGAAAGAACAUGGAGAUAUUCAACAUCGAAAGGUUACCGUGAUUUCAUCUGAGUAAACCAUUUAAUAGGGAAAAAAACCUUAAGUUUCAUUUCUCAGGUUUUUAGAGGUUAGAGGACAUUUUGCUGUACUCUAAAGAGGGAAAGUUAUGAAAGGAGCAUUUUUAUCCAUUUUGUCAACCUUUUACUUACUCAUGUGCAAAGGAGAAGAAAGAAAUUACUGAACUGAUAAAACCGGAAAAGGGAUUUAACUGUAUUUGACUAAGGACUUUUCUCUUUUUUGUCUCCUUCUACUUUUCUUCAUUAAGACACAUGGAUCAGGUCCCCAACCUAACUUCUGGAGGAAUUCUGAGUGCCUAGGUAUCAGAAUGCUGUUGUAAUUUUAUGAACAAGCAGGUUGCAUGAUGGAAGCCAUAUUUUCAGUGCAUCAUUCUAAAGCAGUAUGAAGCAGGAAAUGGAGGGUAAAGAAAGAAAGGCUAUGGAGGCAAAGAAUAACAAAGCCUGAUGUGAAAAUGGCCAAAAGUUAAAAGAAUAUAAAUUUCACCUUAACUGGUACUAGCAGAAAAGGGUGGAGAUUCUACCCCUUUGGAGUAAGAGUCUUUCUUGUCUUUUCAAUGUUCUAAUGAUAUAUUUGGUGGCAAUAUAUCAUUGGUUUUAAAAAGACUUUCGAGGUGAUGCUAUUAUUUAUUUAUAUUUAAAAAAUUGUCAGCCCAUUCCUCUGGACAAGUAGGUCUAGAAUGGACACCAGAAAUCUGUACUAUGACCAGAUGAUGUUUUUAUACCAGCCAUGUUUGGAAACUGCCUAAUCAGAUUAAUGUGAAGUGUUCUUCCACCUCUUAAGUCUAAUUUCUGAUAAAAUAUUAUGUCACUUUAACAAAUCAUAAAUGGCAAAAUACAUUUUCAUUUGUUUUAAAAAGUGCAUUCACUAUGUCCUAAAGCAGGGGUCCCCAACCCCCAGGCUGCGAAACAGUAGCGGUCCGUGGCCUGUUAGGAACCGGGCCACACAAUGGGACAUGAGCAGUGGGCAAAUGAGCUGAGCUCUGCCUACUGUCAGAUUAGCAGAGCCAUUAGAUUUUCAUAGGAGCAGGAACCCUAUUGUGAACUGAGCAUGCAAGGCAGGUAGGUUGCCCGCUCCUUAUGAGAAUCUAAUGCCUGAUGAUGUGAAGUGGGACAGUUUCAUCCCCAAACCACCCAUCUGCUAACUCUCACCCGCCUCUGCUCCCCAUUCGUGGGAAAAUUGUCUUCCAUGAAACUGGUCUCUGGUGCCAAAAAGGUUGGGAACCCCUGGCCAGAAGGAUAAAUCUUUAAGUGCAAUAAUACCAAGAUGUGGAUCUUUGUAACUUGGCUCAUAGAUAUAUAUCAACAAAUAAUUGUGAUUUUAAUUGCAAUAUCAUAACAUAAAAUUUAUUUACAGAUAGUCCUAGGGGUACAUCAGAUAAUCUCUCUGCCAGAGACUAUUUCUACAUAAAAAUUAUAUAACUGAAAGAUUUUCCCACACUGCUUACAUUUAAAUAACAUUUUGAUUUGAGAUUCAGCUUUUACUAAGAAAGCUAGUAUUAUUUAUCUAUUGUUUUUGCCUCAAAGUCUUUUCUAUUUCUUGAUUAGACUCACCUAACAUAUUAUGGUCUGCAUGACAGUUUAAUCUUGUCACUGUCUGUAAUUAAGUUAUAAUUAGUUUAAAGAUGAACUUUAGUGAAUCUGUAAAACAUUCUUAUCUGAUCGACCUAUUAAUUUUGUCCUUUCUUAGGUCAAGUUGCCACUAUUUAUGAUUAAUUUUUGUGUAGGCUUAGUCUCACAAACUAAAUGUACUAUUCAUAGGUUUGAAUAAUUUAAUACUCAACAAUGUGAAGAUAGGUUAAACUGCAUAUAAAUUUAGGAAGGACAAUAUUGCUUUUGAAACUAAACCUUGAAAAAUUUGAAACUUGAAAAUAUUGUAAUCUUUAAUGUGAUACGAAUAAACAGCCUUUAUUCACUAAUGACAGUUUUUAGACCCCAAAGAUGCAAGAGCUGAACAGCAACUUCCUGAGGCUAUUUUAUCAUUGUGUUUGGCAACAUUAUGACCAUUGAUAUUCCGAGAGAUAAUGUGUCAUCUGACAGGACACAGAACAGCAAGAACAUUUAGUCUGAUGUGUAUCAGCAGGAUGAAUAUAGUAAUAUUUUUAUUGUGACCAUGUCACCUACAAUUUGCAAA
Molecule: long non-coding RNA, 2445 nt
Filed under: Homo sapiens (human)
Lineage: Eukaryota; Metazoa; Chordata; Mammalia; Primates; Hominidae
Description: HSALNT0081191
Source: RNAcentral